RNAcentral lists this ribosomal RNA (463 nucleotides) under uncultured bacterium. RNAcentral describes it as "partial 16S ribosomal RNA". It matches the Rfam family "Bacterial small subunit ribosomal RNA", at positions 28 to 507 of the family's 1533-position model. The record is from RNAcentral.
GAUGAACGCUGACAGAAUGCUUAACACAUGCAAGUCUUUGGCGAAGCUGUGCUUGCACAGCCUAGCCAAGGCGGACGGGUGAGUAACGCGUAAGGAACUUGCCCUGCAGUCAGGGAUAACAGACGGAAACGACUGAUAAGACCUGGUAAAGUCAGGCGGACUCAUGUCCAGCCUGAUGAAAAGAGAUGCUGCAGGAGAGCCUUGCGUCCUAUUAGCUUGUUGGUGGGGUAACGGCCCACCAAGGCGAUGAUAGGUAGCCGGCCUGAGAGGGUGGACGGCCACAAGGGGACUGAGAUACGGCCCUUACUCCUACGGGAGGCAGCAGUGGGGAAUAUUGGACAAUGGGAGCAACCCUGAUCCAGCAAUUCUGUGUGCACGAUGAAGGUUUUCGGAUUGUAAAGUGCUUUCAGCAGGGAAGAAAAAAAUGACGGUACCUGCAGAAGAAGCGACGGCUAAAUACGUG